CCCUUAGAUGUUCUGGGCUGCACGCGCGCUACACUGAUGCGAUCAACAAGUUUUUCCUAUGUCGAUAGACACGGGUAAUCUUUUGAACUCGCAUCGUGAUGGGGAUAGAUUAUUGUAAUUAUUAAUCCUCAACGAGGAAUUCCUAGUAGGUGCAAAUCAUCAGUUUGCAUCGAUUACGUCCCUGCCCUUUGUACACACCGCCCGUCGCUGCUACCGAUUGGUUGAUCUGGUGAAUUAUUCGGACUGCCGGCUGAAGGGGUUUCCUCAUCUGCCAGCGGAAAGUCUUGUUAACCCUAUCAACUAGAGGAAGCAGAAGUCGUAACA
Molecule: ribosomal RNA, 324 nt
Filed under: uncultured eukaryote
Lineage: Eukaryota
Description: partial 18S ribosomal RNA
Rfam family: Eukaryotic small subunit ribosomal RNA
Source: RNAcentral